AUGUGUGAGUAGUCUUCCCUUUGAUCUCAUCUUAUCUUCGUAACACUAAAAUCUCAUACUCAUCACUUUCAACAUGGCUAAUACUAGGGUUUUUUUCUCCGAUCUGGGUCGGAUGUGAAUUCGACCAUGAUGCAAGCGACCAUGAUAUAUCUCUAAUCAUAAGUUUUUGCUAUCUCCACAUCUCUCUGCUACUCAUCUCUCUGCUAUCUCCACAACUUUCCUAAAGCUUUAGAGAGAU
Molecule: long non-coding RNA, 238 nt
Organism: Brassica oleracea var. oleracea
Lineage: Eukaryota; Viridiplantae; Streptophyta; Magnoliopsida; Brassicales; Brassicaceae
Exons: 2
Source: RefSeq, a predicted model, not a curated record